Molecule: ribosomal RNA, 389 nt
Filed under: uncultured bacterium
Lineage: Bacteria
Description: bacterial SSU rRNA
Rfam family: Bacterial small subunit ribosomal RNA
Source: RNAcentral
AUUGAACGCUGGCGGCAUGCUUUACACAUGCAAGUCGAACGGUAACAGGUCUUCGGAUGCUGACGAGUGGCGAACGGGUGAGUAAUGCAUCGGAACGUGCCCAGUCGUGGGGGAUAACGCAGCGAAAGCUGUGCUAAUACCGCAUACGAUCUAUGGAUGAAAGCGGGGGAUCGCAAGACCUCGCGCGAUUGGAGCGGCCGAUGUCAGAUUAGCUAGUUGGUGGGGUAAAGGGCCCACCAAGGCGACGAUCUGUAGCUGGUCUGAGAGGACGACCAGCCACACUGGGACUGAGACACGGCCCAGACUCCUACGGGAGGCAGCAGUGGGGAAGUUUUGGACAAUGGACGCAAGUCUGAUCCAGCCAUUCCGCGUGCAGGACGAAGGCCUUC